RNAcentral lists this long non-coding RNA (355 nucleotides) under Drosophila guanche. Lineage: Eukaryota; Metazoa; Arthropoda; Insecta; Diptera; Drosophilidae. The record is from RNAcentral.
CCGGACAGUCACACGUCACACGUGACAUUCUGCGGCUAAGCCUUUUAUGGCCUUCAUAUUUAUUGCAAUAACCGUAGCAGCGUCUGAGGUUUGAGUUGAGUGGUUGGAGGCAGAAGUAAAGUGAAGCUGGCCAAGGGCAUUCCCGGUUGAGUCUCGAGCACGGCCUUGUCACUGUCACCGUUAACGCUUCGAUGACUUUUCCAUAUUGACUUUUCCGUUUCCUUUGUCCCCGUUCAAGUGGACACUGUCAACACUCUGGUCUAAUUGAGCUUGGACGAAGACAGAGCUUUCCAAAGGUUUCUGUUUUCUGUAGUCCAGUGCCCCAUUGAUGGUGUGUCCUUUUGGGCAAACAAAU